Molecule: RNA transcript, 1400 nt
Organism: Pangasianodon hypophthalmus (striped catfish)
Lineage: Eukaryota; Metazoa; Chordata; Actinopteri; Siluriformes; Pangasiidae
Exons: 4
Source: RefSeq, a predicted model, not a curated record
ACCUUACUGCUCUGUUGCACCAUCAGCCAAUCACGUAGCAGCUCCACUUUGUUCUGUGAAGCUCAGUGCUGCUGAAGCGCGAGACGGUUUAUUGCUGCCAAGACGCUGUUAACACCAAACUUUAUAUUAGCUUUCUAAUCUUAAAAUACAAUAAACUCCAAUAAAACGGGAGCAAAAUCAAAUAAUUAGCGCGUAAAUAUGAUUUCAGUGUUUUGGUGAUAUUGUGUAAAUAGAACAGAAUUUGUGCGUGUCCGCCAUUUUGUCUCUCACACUGACCUGAUUUAACAACGUAGCAGCUUAGCAUGAUUAGCAUUUUAAUAUUAUUUCAUUAUUAUCAUUUUUAGAUAUAAAAACUGGGCAGGAACAACUGUACACCUGCUCAUUUAUGCAGUUAUCCAGUCAGCCAAUCAUGUGGCAGCACCGGAACCAUCAAAUCAUGCAGAUACAGGUCAAGGGCUUCAGGUUACACUCGAUUCUCAAGAGUUUCCCUUGGUACUGAAGUGCAUGUCAUGUUCCUUCUCUGCUGGGAAAGCACCGCACAAUGACAUAGUGGCAUUUCUGUUCCAAACUUCUCACUACAGUACCGUGGGCUUCAGGACGGUGCCAUUGCCUCUGUCAUGCACCAGCUCACUGCAGACCUGGGACACAGGGAAUUGCACCAGAGGCUAUAAAGGACAUGGCGGUGUGUAACCCAGUGGCAAAGACAAAGAAUGGUGUCAGGACUGGUGUGAAGAGCACACUGUACAGAGCAUGUGGUGGUGAGUCUGAAUGAGCCCCCACCUGUGCAAACAUUUUAAUUCAUUUCUAACAGAACAGUGAUUAGUAUUUAGUACUUUUUAUAGAGGCUUUCAGUUGAUAUUAUUAUUUUUGGAGAUAUUAUUAUGAUGAAUUGUUAAUAUCAGGGUUUGGGGCAGCUUAACAUUCACUUUUAAUAUAUAACGCCAUUUCCAAAAAGAUUGGGACGCUUUGUAAAAUGCGAAUAAAAAGAGAAUGCAAAGAUUUACAAAUCACAUAAACCCACAUUUUAUUCGCAACAGAGCAUAGACAUCAUAUGAAAUGUUUAAAGUGAGACAUUUUACUAUUUUAUGAAAAAUAUUAGCUCAUCCACCCCAAUGCCAGGCUUGUAUGCAAACUGGAGUGGGUCCAUUGAUGGGCUCCCCAGAUCACGGAGAUGCACAAGGACCAGCCUCUCCAGAGUCUUCAUCAGGUGGGAUGUCAGAGCCGCUGGCCUGUAGGGCUCAGGGCCCUCUCUCACCUGGACAAGCCUGGGAGCACUGUCAGAAUCAUGUUUUUUGAUUUUUCCAGUGCUUUCAACGCUAUACAGCCUGUACUUCUAAAAGACAAGCUGGAACACACAGGGGUGGACCAGCACCUUGCAUCCUGGAUCCUGGACUACUUUA